AACGAACGCUGGCGGCAUGCCUAACACAUGCAAGUCGAACGAAGGCUUCGGCCUUAGUGGCGCACGGGUGCGUAACGCGUGGGAAUCUGCCCUUGGGUACGGAAUACCUCUCCGAAAGGAGUGCUAAUACCGUAUGAUGUCGCAAGACCAAAGAUUUAUCGCCCAGGGAUGAGCCCGCGUAGGAUUAGGUAGUUGGUGGGGUGAAGGCUCACCAAGCCGACGAUCCUUAGCUGGUCUGAGAGGAUGAUCAGCCACACUGGGACUGAGACACGGCCCAGACUCCUACGGGAGGCAGCAGUGGGGAGUAUUGGACAAUGGGCGAAAGCCUGAUCCAGCAAUGCCGCGUGAGUGAUGAAGGCCUUAGGGUUGUAAAGCUCUUUUACCCGGGAAGAUAAUGACUGUACCGGGAGAAUAAGCCCCGGCUAACUCCGUGCCAGCCGCCGCCGUAA
RNAcentral lists this ribosomal RNA (449 nucleotides) under uncultured bacterium. Its description in RNAcentral is "partial 16S ribosomal RNA". It matches the Rfam family "Bacterial small subunit ribosomal RNA", at positions 29 to 523 of the family's 1533-position model. The record is from RNAcentral.